Molecule: ribosomal RNA, 1450 nt
Filed under: uncultured prokaryote
Description: partial 16S ribosomal RNA
Rfam family: Bacterial small subunit ribosomal RNA
Source: RNAcentral
AGAGUUUGAUCCUGGCUCAGGGUGAACGCUGGCGGCGCGCUUAAUGCAUGCAAGUCGAACGUGCCUUCGGGCAAGUGGCAGACGGCUGAGUAACGCGUGAGUAACACACCCUUCGGUGGGGUAUAGCCUCGGGAAACUGAGGGUAAUCCCGCAUACGAUCCCUAUUCCCUGGUGUUGGGAUGAAAGCCUUCGGGCGCCGGAGGAGUGGCUCGCGUCCUAUCAGGUAGUUGGUGAGGUAACGGCUCACCAAGCCGAUGACGGGUAGCUGGUCUUAGAGGACGAUCAGCCAGAGGGGGACUGAGACACGGCCCCCACUCCUACGGGAGGCAGCAGCAGGGAAUUUUGGGCAAUGGACGAAAGUCUGACCCAGCGACGUCGCGUGGGGGAUGAAGGCUCUAGGGCUGUAAACCCCUUUUCCGAGGGAAGAGGAAGGACGGUACCUCGGGAAUAAGCUCCGGCUAACUACGUGCCAGCAGCCGCGGUAAUACGUAGGAGGCGAGCGUUGUCCGGAUUUACUGGGCGUAAAGGGCGAGUAGGCGGUCUAUUAAGUCUCAUGUGAAAUCUCCCGGCUUAACUGGGAGGGGUCAUGGGAUACUGGUAGACUUGAGGGCAGUAGAGGAGAGUGGAAUUCCCAGAGUAGCGGUGAUAUGCGUAGAUACUGGGAGGAACACCCGAGGCGAAGGCGACUCUCUGGGCUGUACCUGACGCUGAGGCGCGAAAGCAUGGGGAGCGAACCGGAUUAGAUACCCGGGUAGUCCAUGCCCUAAACGAUGGAUACUAGAUAUGGGGGGUAUCGACCCCCCCCGUGUCGUAGCUAACGUGAUAAGUAUCCCGCCUGGGGAGUACGGCCGCAAGGCUAAAACUCAAAGGAAUUGACGGGCCCCCGCACAAGCAGCGGAGCGUGUGGUUUAAUUCGAUGAUAAGCGAAGAACCUUACCAGGGCUUGACAUGCUUCUGUAAUCUCGGGAAACCGAGCCCUCCUUCGGGACAGAUGCACAGAUGUUGCAUGGCCGUCGUCAGCUCGUGCCGUGAGGUGUUGGGUUAAGUCCCGCAACGAGCGCAACCCUUGUCGUUAGUUGUCUUUUUCUAGCGAGACUGCCCCUAAAAAGGGGGAGGAAGGUGGGGAUGACGUCAGGUCAGCACGGCUCUUACGUCCUGGGCUACACACACGCUACAAUGGCCGGUACAGAGGGUUGCCAAAGAGCAAUCUGGAGCUAAUCCCAAAAAGCCGGCCCCAGUUGGAAUUGCAGGCUGCAACCCGCCUGCAUGAACGUGGAGCUGCUAGUAACCGCAGGUCAGCACACUGCGGUGAAUACGUUCCCGGGGGUUGUACACACCGCCCGUCACGUCAUGGAAGUCGGUAACACUUGAAGUCGCUGGGCCAACCCUUCGGGGGGGCAGACGCCGAGGGUGGGAUCGGUGACUGGGACGAAGUCGUAACAAGGUAACC